GACGAACGCUGGCGGCGUGCUUAACACAUGCAAGUCGAACGGAAAGGCCCUGCUUUUGUGGGGUGCUCGAGUGGCGAACGGGUGAGUAACACGUGAGUAACCUGCCCUUGACUUUGGGAUAACUUCAGGAAACUGGGGCUAAUACCGGAUAGGAGCUCCUGCUGCAUGGUGGGGGUUGGAAAGUUUCGGCGGUUGGGGAUGGACUCGCGGCUUAUCAGCUUGUUGGUGGGGUAGUGGCUUACCAAGGCUUUGACGGGUAGCCGGCCUGAGAGGGUGACCGGCCACACUGGGACUGAGAUACGGCCCAGAAUCCUACGGGAGGGAGCAGUGGGGAAUAUUGCACAAUGGGGGGAAGCCUGAUGCAGCAAAGCCGCGUGCGGGAUGAGGGCCUUCGGGUUUUAAACCGCUUUCGCCUGUGACGAAGCGUGAGUGACGGUAAUGGGUAAAGAAGCACCGGCUAACUACGUG
RNAcentral lists this ribosomal RNA (468 nucleotides) under uncultured bacterium. RNAcentral describes it as "partial 16S ribosomal RNA". It matches the Rfam family "Bacterial small subunit ribosomal RNA", at positions 28 to 507 of the family's 1533-position model. The record is from RNAcentral.